RNAcentral lists this ribosomal RNA (453 nucleotides) under Streptomyces hygroscopicus. RNAcentral describes it as "bacterial SSU rRNA". It matches the Rfam family "Bacterial small subunit ribosomal RNA", at positions 57 to 524 of the family's 1533-position model. Lineage: Bacteria; Bacillati; Actinomycetota; Actinomycetes; Kitasatosporales; Streptomycetaceae. The record is from RNAcentral.
GCAAGUCGAACGAUGAACCGGUUUCGGCCGGGGAUUAGUGGCGAACGGGUGAGUAACACGUGGGCAAUCUGCCCUGCACUCUGGGACAAGCCCUGGAAACGGGGUCUAAUACCGGAUACGACGCGUUCCCGCAUGGGAUACGUGUGGAAAGCUCCGGCGGUGCAGGAUGAGCCCGCGGCCUAUCAGCUUGUUGGUGGGGUGAUGGCCUACCAAGGCGACGACGGGUAGCCGGCCUGAGAGGGCGACCGGCCACACUGGGACUGAGACACGGCCCAGACUCCUACGGGAGGCAGCAGUGGGGAAUAUUGCACAAUGGGCGCAAGCCUGAUGCAGCGACGCCGCGUGAGGGAUGACGGCCUUCGGGUUGUAAACCUCUUUCAGCAGGGAAGAAGCGUGAGUGACGGUACCUGCAGAAGAAGCGCCGGCUAACUACGUGCCAGCAGCCGCGGUAAU